Molecule: ribosomal RNA, 470 nt
Filed under: uncultured bacterium
Lineage: Bacteria
Description: bacterial SSU rRNA
Rfam family: Bacterial small subunit ribosomal RNA
Source: RNAcentral
GAUGAACGCUGGCGGCGUGCAUAACACAUUCAAGUCGAACGGAGUUAACGGAGAGCUUGUUUGAAGUUAACUUAGUGGCGGACGGGUGAGUAACGCGUGAGCAACCUGCCUUUGUGAGGGGGAUAACGACCGGAAACAGUCGCUAAUACCGCAUGAAGCAACGAAACCGCAUGGUUUUGUUGCCAAAGAUUUAUCGCACAAAGAUGGGCUCGCGUCUGAUUAGAUAGUUGGCAGGGUAACGGCCUACCAAGUCGACGAUCAGUAGCCGGACUGAGAGGUUGAACGGCCACAUUGGAACUGAGAAACGGUCCAGACUCCUACGGGAGGCAGCAGUGGGGAAUAUUGGGCAAUGGGGGAAACCCUGACCCAGCAACGCCGCGUGAAGGAAGAAGGCCUUCGGGUUGUAAACUUCUUUUAGCAGGGACGAAUUCGUGACGGUACCUGCAGAAAAAGCAACGGCUAACUACGUG